CUACGUAGGUGACAAGCGUUAUCCGGAUUUACUGGGCGUAAAGGGCGUGUAGGCGGUCUUGCAAGUCAGAAGUGAAAUUCCUGAGCUCAACUCGGGCGCUGCUUCUGAAACUGCAGGACUUGAGUGCUGGAGGGGAUAGCGGAAUUCCUAGUGGAGCGGUAAAAUGCGCAGAUAUUAGGAAGAACACCGGUGGCGAAGGCGGCUAUCUGGACAGUAACUGACGCUGAGGCGCGAAAGCGUGGGGAGCAAACAGGAUUAGAUACCCGGGUAGUCCACGCCGUAAACGAUGAAUACUAGGUGUAGGGGGUAUCGACUCCCUCUGUGCCGCAGAUAACACAAUAAGUAUUCCGCCUGGGGAGUACGGCCGCAAGGUUGAAACUCAAAUGAAUUGACGGGG
This 397-nucleotide ribosomal RNA is filed under the name uncultured bacterium. RNAcentral's name for it is "partial 16S ribosomal RNA". It matches the Rfam family "Bacterial small subunit ribosomal RNA", at positions 523 to 918 of the family's 1533-position model. The record is from RNAcentral.